CAUGGUCUUAGCUUGCUAAGGCUGAUGGCGACCGGCGCACGGGUGAGUAACACGUAUCCAACCUGCCGUCUACUCUUGGCCAGCCUUCUGAAAGGAAGAUUAAUCCAGGAUGGCAUCAUGAGUUCACAUGUCCGCAUGAUUAAAGGUAUUUUCCGGUAGACGAUGGGGAUGCGUUCCAUUAGAUAGUAGGCGGGGUAACGGCCCACCUAGUCAACGAUGGAUAGGGGUUCUGAGAGGAAGGCCCCCCACAUUGGAACUGAGACACGGUCCAAACUCCUACGGGAGGCAGCAGUGAGGAAUAUUGGUCAAUGGGCGAUGGCCUGAACCAGCCAAGUAGCGUGAAGGAUGACUGCCCUAUGGGUUGUAAACUUCUUUUAUAAGGGAAUAAAGUCGGGUAUGCAUACCCGUUUGCAUGUACUUUAUGAAUAAGGAUCGGCUAACUCCGUGCCAGCAGCCGCGGUAAUACGGAGGAUCCGAGCGUUAUCCGGAUUUAUUGGGUUUAAAGGGAGCGUAGAUGGAUGUUUAAGUCAGUUGUGAAAGUUUGCGGCUCAACCGUAAAAUUGCAGUUGAUACUGGAUGUCUUGAGUGCAGUUGAGGCAGGCGGAAUUCGUGGUGUAGCGGUGAAAUGCUUAGAUAUCACGAAGAACUCCGAUUGCGAAGGCAGCCUGCUAAGCUGCAACUGAC
This 684-nucleotide ribosomal RNA is filed under the name uncultured Bacteroidales bacterium. Its description in RNAcentral is "bacterial SSU rRNA". It matches the Rfam family "Bacterial small subunit ribosomal RNA", at positions 63 to 744 of the family's 1533-position model. Lineage: Bacteria; Pseudomonadati; Bacteroidota; Bacteroidia; Bacteroidales. The record is from RNAcentral.